AUGCUCUUUGGCAGCACAUAUACUAAAAUUAGAAUGCUAGAGAUAAGAUUAGCCUGGCCUCUGUGCAAGGAUGACACAUAAAUUUGUGAAGCAUUCCAUAUUUUU
This 105-nucleotide small nuclear RNA is filed under the name Dasypus novemcinctus (nine-banded armadillo). Lineage: Eukaryota; Metazoa; Chordata; Mammalia; Cingulata; Dasypodidae. The record is from RNAcentral.